CACUCAUUUCUCUCGAUAUUAUAUCUGUUUAUAUAACCCCAUGAAGGAAGAGAGGUUUUUCCAUAGUUGGAAAGAGUAAAGAACUUGCUUUCUGGGUUUUCAGGCUCACCAACUCUCUUCCCAAGCUCUCGUUUCAGCCAAUUAAGAAGACAUGGAAGUGGCUGUUGAGGUAGAAGCCUGUGUAUUUUUUUGUAGAUUUAAACAAGCAAAUCUCUUUGCUUAUCAUGGAUGAUGAGCAAAUAAAUCGUCACCGACAAAAAAUUAAAAAUUGAAACCUCACCGACAAAACAUUACAAAUUGAAACCUCUGUGAAUAACAUCAUAAAUCAUCGCUUCAGCAAAAUAUUAAAAAUUGAAACCUCACCGACAAAACAAAAAAGAAAAAAGAAAAAAAGACCAUCUCAAAUGAAACAUUUUAGUCUGCAUAAACCCAGUCUUAUUUGUCUUGCAAUUAAAAGAAACCAAAAAGAAACAAAAACUAAGGGCAGAGGGAAAAACAUAAGAAAAAUAGAAGAAUAGAAUAAUCUUACCGAUUUCUCUGACGGCAGAGGAGUGUGACAGUAGAGGCCUGCGACGGUCCACGAGUGCGACGAUGUAGCAGAUUUGGGGAAGGUCUGUCUCGUCGAGGGCAGCAGGCUAAGGUUCUUUAUUUGGGGGAAUUUUGGGGAAAAUAGGGAGGGGAAUAGAACCAAGGUUUUCGGGUAUGGGGAAAUUUAGAAGCAGAAAUAAUUGAAAAUUUGCGGCGUUUCUAUAGUAGCACCACUAAUGCCCACAAAAACGGUGACGUUUUGUUUAAACAACAGCCCAACCUUGCGGCGUUUUUAUAAACGCGCCGCUAAUGCGCACAUUUAGUGGCGUUUUUC
This 862-nucleotide long non-coding RNA is filed under the name Gossypium barbadense (sea-island cotton). Its description in RNAcentral is "long non-coding RNA (GBAR_LNC016354)". Lineage: Eukaryota; Viridiplantae; Streptophyta; Magnoliopsida; Malvales; Malvaceae. The record is from RNAcentral.